This 460-nucleotide ribosomal RNA is filed under the name uncultured bacterium. RNAcentral describes it as "partial 16S ribosomal RNA". It matches the Rfam family "Bacterial small subunit ribosomal RNA", at positions 338 to 795 of the family's 1533-position model. The record is from RNAcentral.
CCUACGGGAGGCAGCAGUGAGGAAUAUUGGUCAAUGGGCGUAAGCCUGAACCAGCCAAGUCGCGUGAGGGAUUAAGUUUCUAUGGAUCGUAAACCUCUUUUAUAAGGGAAUAAAGUGUGGGACGUGUCCUAUUUUGUAUGUACCUUAUGAAUAAGGAUCGGCUAACUCCGUGCCAGCAGCCGCGGUAAUACGGAGGAUCCGAGCGUUAUCCGGAUUUAUUGGGUUUAAAGGGGGCGUAGUCGGCCUUUUAAUUCAGCGGUGAAAGUCGUGGGCUAAACCAUUGAAUUGCCGUUGAAACUGGUGGUCUUGAGUAUGUUUGAGGCAGGCGGAAUGCGGGGUGUAGCGGUGAAAUGCUUAGAUAUCACGCAGAACCCCGAUUGCGAAGGCAGCCGGCCAAGCCAUGACUGACGCUGAUGCACGAAAGCGUGGGGAUCAAACAGGAUUAGAUACCCUUGUAGUC